AUGAAGGGGAAUUUUUUCUUAACUGAAAACCGAAGAGAUUUCCAACAUGUCAGGAGAACAAAUAACAUGAAGCACAGAUGAAGAUACUUCUGUUGCUGCUUCUGUAGAAGUUGGCGAAGCAUUUGCACCUCUUCAGCGAUUCACCUCUUUUUGGAAGAUCCAAAGAUGUUUUGUGACUGAUUCCAGGUUUCUGCAUAACCAUGCACUGGGAUUUCCUCAUUUCAAGCUAUGGGUAAUUCAGAGAGGUGUGAGUGCUUUUUCAAGAAGCGAUUUCAGUAUCACAACACAUCUUGUGUGUUUUGCAGAGGACCCUCUCCCUCUAUGUGUCCUCAGAGCAGCAAAGAGACUGAAAACUGAAGGAUCUCAAGACCCACUGGUGGAAAUAAGAGUCCUCAGGGCUGACAUGACUCUCUCACAUGUUUCUUUUCAAAACUCCUUUCUGCACCUAUAGAAUCUUGAACAAUAACGUGACCUAUGGGAUUGUGUGGGGAUGAGAUUACUGUGCUUCGCAGCUCUCAGAGGCAGGCUGGAGGAAAGCUCCACAAGUGAGAAGUGUCUAACUGAUCCAGGUUGCAGCCCCUGGAGAAGGUAGGAUUGGUUGAGUGCAGGGCUGUAGUGCUGCUCUGCACCCUCACCUCCUGGGACCUGGCCAAAGAUGUAUGCCAGAGACUUUUAAUAUGCUGUGACAAGUGAGUGCUGCAGAAAGGUCUGAAGACAGAUGACACUGGAGAAGGUCCAGGUUGGUGCUGUGAGGAUGCUGAGAUGUAGCCCUCCAUUAGAGAGCAUGAAGAAUGCUGGGAUGAGUGAACUGCACCCUCCCCUUCAGGUCUUGCCAGCUUGCUCACUGUGUGUCAGCUCCUGCCUCUGCUCUCUUCUUCCACCCCCUUUUCCGAGGUGGGGCAGUUACAGCAUCCCCAGCUGUACCCACGGGAACUGCCCUUUCCCCAGAUGCCACCAGCCUUGAGCUGGCUUUCACAGGCUAAGAAUAAACUAGGCCUUUGGCUCUAGCUUACACAGUUACAAGCUUUGGAUUUGCCAAGUCAGGGAAAUUUAAAUUUGCCAACCGAAUCUGCUUCCAGGGGCUCUCUCAUUCUGAGUCAGCGCAGCUGGGAGGGAAUGGAGGACAACACCAGAGCCUGAUGCUGCUCAGUGGUACCUUUUCUCAGCACAGCCACCGACCAAUAGAAGGAGAAAAACAAUCAGUGACAGCUGCGUGUCACCAGAGAUGUGCAGACUGCAGUCCUAUGCUGUCUAAGAGCCCUAUAUUUUCAAAGAAAGCUUAAAUAGACAGACAACUAAUUAAAAAGGGGGGAGGGGAAAUGCCUUGAAUCUCAUCCUUCUUAUGGCAGAUACAAUCAUAAUGUUUCAGGUAAUUAGCUUUGCCUGAGCUGAUGAUCUCUCAUUUUGGGAGUGUAUAAAAUCUAUGAGUAGUGAUAUGAGGCAACCUGCAAGUCUCCAUGCCUAGCUCUAGAGUUCUCUCUGUACUCCUCUAUCUCCCUCUGAAUCGUACCUCCUCUCCUGGGGAAAGGCUCACUGGUGCUUAUCAGAUUCAAUUAC
Molecule: long non-coding RNA, 1557 nt
Organism: Gallus gallus (chicken)
Lineage: Eukaryota; Metazoa; Chordata; Aves; Galliformes; Phasianidae
Source: Ensembl